RNAcentral lists this transfer RNA (69 nucleotides) under Pissodes strobi. RNAcentral describes it as "tRNA-Leu". Lineage: Eukaryota; Metazoa; Arthropoda; Insecta; Coleoptera; Curculionidae. The record is from RNAcentral.
GUUAUUUUGGCAGAUAAGUGCAAUAGAUUUAGAAUCUUUAGAUGUAAAAUGUUUGUUUUACAGAUAAUA